AAGCGUGCGCAGGCGGUUUUGUAAGACUGUCGUGAAAUCCCCGGGCUCAACCUGGGAAUGGCGAUGGUGACUGCAAGGCUAGAGUUUGGCAGAGGGGGGUAGAAUUCCACGUGUAGCAGUGAAAUGCGUAGAUAUGUGGAGGAACACCGAUGGCGAAGGCAGCCCCCUGGGUCAAAACUGACGCUCAUGCACGAAAGCGUGGGGAGCAAACAGGAUUAGAUACCCUUAGU
This 230-nucleotide ribosomal RNA is filed under the name uncultured bacterium. RNAcentral describes it as "partial 16S ribosomal RNA". It matches the Rfam family "Bacterial small subunit ribosomal RNA", at positions 563 to 794 of the family's 1533-position model. The record is from RNAcentral.